Molecule: long non-coding RNA, 404 nt
Filed under: Pongo abelii (Sumatran orangutan)
Lineage: Eukaryota; Metazoa; Chordata; Mammalia; Primates; Hominidae
Description: lincRNA
Source: RNAcentral
AGAGAUAAAUCUGGGACUGAGUACAAGCAAAACAAGACCAAAGGAAGCUACCUGAGCAGGUAUUCCAGAUAUUCAUGCCAUACACCAAGAUUGUACCAGUGCCCCUUUCUCUGUGACACAUCCAUCCAUUGGAAACUUUCGUACAACUAGCUGAAAGAAGAGAAACAUCUUAUUUUAUGUCACUGGAGCCCUAAUGAUCGCAGCCAUUUCAGGAGAUGCCAUCAAUUACAGUGAGGAGCUCAUUCAGAAGUGAAAGAUGAGUUCCAUUCUCUGUUACUUAGAGGAACACAAUUAUUUCUGGAAAGAGUAUUACACUCAGUAUUCUGCAUUUCAUAUGGCAUUUCAAAGUCCUGAGAAUAACUCUCCAUAGUGUUCUAUGUACUAAUUAAACAUGAACAUGUGGU